UGACGAGGAACCACGGUUCCGAAGUGAUUGAUAUCAAGCUUCCAGGAAAAGCCACUAAGCUUCAGUCUAGAGUUGACCGUACCGCAAACCGACACAGGUGGGCAGGAUGAAAAUUCUAAGGCGCUUGAGAGAACUCAGGAGAAGGAACUCGGCAAAUUAACACCGUAACUUCGGGAGAAGGUGUGCCCCGGUAGCGUGUAGAGACUUGCUCUCGAAGCGCGAUGGGGUUGCAGUGAAAUGGUGGCUGCGACUGUUUAAUAAAAACACAGCACUCUGCAAACACGAAAGUGGACGUAUAGGGUGUGACGCCUGCCCGGUGCCGGAAGGUUAAGUGAUGGGGUGCAAGCUCUUGAUCGAAGCCCCGGUAAACGGCGGCCGUAACAAUAACGGUCCUAAGGUAGCGAAAUUCCUUGUCGGGUAAGUUCCGACCUGCACGAAUGGCGUAACGAUGGCCACACUGUCUCCUCCUGGGACUCAGCGAAGUUGAAAUGUUUGUGAAGAUGCAAUCUACCCGCGGCUAGACGGAAAGACCCCAUGAACCUUUACUGUAGCUUUGCAUUGGACUUUGAACCGGUUUGUGUAGGAUAGGUGGGAGACUGUGAAGCCGGGACGCUAGUUUCGGUGGAGUCAACCUUGAAAUACCACCCUGAUUUGUUUGAGGUUCUAACCUUGGUCCGUGAAUCCGGAUCGGGGACCGUGCAUGGUAGGCAGUUUGACUGGGGCGGUCUCCUCCCAAAAGGUAACGGAGGAGUACGAAGGUACGCUUAGGGCGGUCGGACAUCGCCCACAAAGUGCAAUGGCAAAAGCGUGCUUGACUGCGAGACCCACAAGUCGAGCAGGUACGAAAGUAGGUCAUAAUGAUCCGGUGGUUCUGUAUGGAAGGGCCAUCGCUCAACGGAUAAAAGGUACUCUGGGGAUAACAGGCUAAUUCCUCCCAAGAGUUCAUAUCGACGGGGGAGUUUGGCACCUCGAUGUCGGCUCAUCACAUCCUGGGGCUGUAGUCGGUCCCAAGGGUAUGGCUGUUCGCCAUUUAAAGUGGUACGCGAGCUGGGUUUAAAACGUCGUGAGACAGUUUGGUCCCUAUCUGCCGUGGGCGCUGGAAAUUUGAAGGGGGCUGCUCCUAGUACGAGAGGACCGGAGUGGACGAACCUCUGGUGUACCGGUUAUGACGCCAGUCGUAUCGCCGGGUAGCUAAGUUCGGAAGAGAUAAACGCUGAAAGCAUCUAAGCGUGAAACUCGCCUUAAGAUAAGAUUUCCCGGAGUCUUGAACUCCCUGAAGGGUCGUCGAAGACCACGACGUUGAUAGGUCAGGUGUGGAAGCGCAGCAAUGCGUUAAGCUAACUGAUACUAAUUGCCCGUGCGGCUC
Molecule: ribosomal RNA, 1366 nt
Filed under: metagenome
Description: bacterial LSU rRNA
Rfam family: Bacterial large subunit ribosomal RNA
Source: RNAcentral